Molecule: long non-coding RNA, 2712 nt
Filed under: Rattus norvegicus (Norway rat)
Lineage: Eukaryota; Metazoa; Chordata; Mammalia; Rodentia; Muridae
Description: long non-coding RNA NONRATT007343
Rfam family: tRNA (bases 1557-1625)
Source: RNAcentral
ACCCAAAUCUGCAACCCCUACCUAAAAGCAUAGACCUAGCUAUGGAUGCCUUCAAUCCGGCAUGCGCAAUUUACACACAUACGUCCUAGGUGCUUGUUUAGUGACACAACCUUGUUGAAAAGGCAAGCUUCACGGUCAGUCAGAGACAGGGUCUCAAAAAAUAUAUAGGAAAACAGCAGGGGAGGGCACGGAGGGUUCUGACUUCUGCGUGUGCACAGAUAGGUGUGCACACCAGACUUCUGCGUAUACACUCAUAGGUGUGCACACCUGUAUAUACACAGACACACGCUUAGUGUGUCAAAUUUCCAACCAGUUCAGUCUAUUGACAGAAUUCUAUAGGAAUCAAUGUGUGAUUUCAUCCACUCAGCUCACAUUUAUGAGGUGUGUGAUGUUGUGUAUUGAUCUAGGCGUGAUUGGAGAACCGUAGUGUGUACAUACAUGUCAUAGAGUGCACAUACAUGUCAUAGAGUGCACAUACACGUCAUAGUGUGCACAUACACGACAUAGUGUGCACAUGCAUGUGUUUGAUAGUCUAUAGAACUGUGACACUGCAUUUCAGACACUGACAUUUUUUAAAAGACAAUAAUAAAACCCAUCUUCAUAAUUGUGAUUUCUCAUGAUGGGGUCGUGGGAGUGAAAUCCCUUCCUCUCUCCGUCUAGGUGUUCAUCUACAUCAUCGUGUCUCCACUGUGCGGUGGCUUCACGUGGCCAAGCUGUGUGAAGAAAUAAAGGAAAAAAAUCACUGUUCACCAAGGAUGUGAGCAUGGAAGGAGGAAAAGCCAAUGCGUGUGGCCCUGGCUUUCACUUCUCUCAGCAAACGCCAUUUCUUUCAUCCUCUUUCCUUUUUCUCUUUGCCCAUCACACGGUUUGUGUUAACGAAUUUCACAUCGAGUCGUUGUGCACAGGAGAAAGGACAUCGUUUGUUCCUCCGAUUUGUUAAGUAGAAGCUUCUAGAAAGACAUCUUUGCUUCUAACAUGCAAAGCUUUUGCCAAAGUGGAAACGGCUGCGCUCACGACCUGUCUGUGAACUCACGACCUGUCUGCUAAACCUGUCUGUGACGUUGUGUGUUGACACAAAGCACUGGGAAACGGGUUGCACCGCUGACAUCUCACUUUAGUCUCUUUCGUUGUGGGAGAAUUUUGAGUGCUUCACAAUAAUGGAGAAAUUUGGGAAUUAUAAUAAAUUACAAUAAAUGGUCGGUGCUGCUUAUGUCCAGGAGCCCAUCCGGGUAACGGUUAACGUUGAAUUUUAUCUCAGUGAGGUGGGAAAUGCCUUCAAUACCUCAAGGACCAUGGGUUAGCUGGAUCCUAUGGUCCAAUGGGUAGAGCAGCCUGACGGCAGCCCAGACCUGUUGAAGAGCCGUGGGUUCCAGGCCCCACACAAGCGAGCAUUUUGAUUGACAGACCAUUAGAAGCACAAGGAUGACCCUUCCUUCUCCCAGCUUUGGCUUUCUGAAAUGAAGUCCCGGACAUUAUUUAUUCACUCUGCACAUAGUUUAACACUUUCUGUUUAUCCAUUACCAAUUCGAACUGAGAUUAAGUAAAGGAUUGGGGUUGGGGAUUUAGCUCAGUGGUAGAGCGCUUGCCUAGGAAGCGCAAGGCCCUGGGUUCGGUCCCCAGCUCCGAAAUAAAAGAACCAAAAAAAAAAAAAAAAGAAAAAAAGUAAAGGAUUGUGGGUUUUACAUAUUUUCCUUCCAUACAUAUUUGGGGCAAACGUGGUAAUAAAAUUCGUAAUGGAAGAGAGGGGAGGCCAAUGCCUCUGUGUCACCAAAGACAAAGAAUGGAGCCAUACUAGAAGUGCAUGCAUUUAACCUCACAACAUACAAUAAUGUGGGAUUUUUUUUUUUUCCCAUUCUGGGAAAAGCCCAAACUGAACACGGUCAGAAGUCAACUCCUCGAUUCAGAUUUGACUUUUUUGAAUAAUGGUUUGAUCUUUCUUUGUGAUUUACCUAAUCCUUCAAUCUGCCUACUUUUGAAUAAUUAAAUUUGAAUUCAAAUUACUUUUGAAUUAAAACAUGAAAGAGUUUUAAUACAUAGUAUAAUAAUAUAGAAACAAUAUAUAAUAUCUUAACAUAUAUUUAUUGUCAUAAGAAAAUCGGAGUGUGAUGUUGCUCCCUCUCCUUUGGCAUCAUUCAGUAGUCGGUGAUUAUCUGAGAAGAAGAAAAUUUUUUUCCUGCCUAUUAUUGAAUUUAUUUAUGAAAAGGUGAAACUGAACAGAAGUGAUGUCUCAUUUUACUCUCUUCCCAGUGAAACAAUAAAUUAGUAUCUUGAACUCAGCCCACUGUUAGCCUAGUCAUGUGCCUUGAAUAUCUGUGUCCUAUAAACAGGAACCUUCCACGUUCACAAUAACUGCUUGAUUUGUUUAGUAAUCGAAUGCACACAGGAACUCUUUUGGUCAUAGGGUAUAAUGCUGUUGUUCUUUCUAGACAUUUUUAUGAGCGCUGUUCAUUGUAAUUAUAUAAUUAUUUCCUAUUAGGAAAUACAUUCACUCUCAAAAGAAAAAAAUAGACAUUCCCAAAUAAUGAUUUCAAAUAAAGGCUUAAAAUUUAUUUCUCUUUCUUAUAAAAACUGAAUAAGAUUUUUGUGCAUGCUUUAGGGUUUAAUUACUUAAGAGUUUCUUGUUCUAUUUAUGAGUAGGAAUGCUUUCAAAGGCACAAGUAUCCAUGUAAAUGAUACACAAAUUAAAGACAUUAAUAAAAUUUAAGAAUACUA